ACAAAGCCCCCCCCAGCCCCCCCAGGACAGAGCAGCCGGAAAGAACCAGUUCUCCAGGGCUAGGGCCCAGAUCCGGCAAAGAAGGUUGAGGCACAGCCCAGCGACUGUCUUGGGGUCCCCCCUUUUCCAGGAGCCACAAACAGGAUGCUGGAGUUUUUGAAAGGACAUGCCUAACCCCAGGGAAGGGGAGGGCAGGUUCAAGUUAGGAGAAUGUUGGAUUCCAAAGGAGAACACCCCAACAACUACAAGCACCCUCCCUCCCUCCCGCCCGCCCCCCAACUGAACCAAUCAGCAACAGUCACAUGUCUCACUGGAAUCCAAGAAAACUCGCUGGUGGUCGUAGAGGAAUCUGGAUUUGGGUUCAAGUACCAAGAUGGCACUAAGCAUGUGGCUAGAAGGCCUCCCCCCUCCCCUUGUCCUGCUCAGCUCCUGCUCACAGCCGGGACACUAGACAGCCUCUCUGGCCCAAGGGACCCGAUUAUACCACAGCCUGUGCUCUGGCCCUCAGAGAAGGGCACCUGCCCGGUGGGGCCAAGUACAUGAGGCUCAGGGGGAAGCUCGGGCCGCCCUCCGGCACUGCCCAAAGUCAUCUCGGAGCUUCCCCUGCCCACCCUCGGGUGCCAGGCCUUGAGGAAUCUCCCCCGACAGACUAGGAGCCCUUGGAAGGCAGUGACUGUGUCCUGUGCGCUUACUGAGCACAGCUGUGGGGGGAGAGCGGCUCCCCCGGCCCCGCAUCACCGCACCGCCAGGGUACCUGCGCCUCUGCGCCGGCGAACGACGAUGGCGGCAAGAGAGAAUUUUUGAAAGCCGGCAGUUUCUUUCCUGUGAUCUGAUUUGCUCAGGGCCUCUUCGCCGGCCGUCUUUUCCGCUCACGCGCAAGAUUCCCUCUCGUUCCCGCGAGAUCGCUGACGAUUGGUCCCGCUUGAAGUCCGGGCAAGAAAACUACCAUUCACAGCGGCCGACUGUCAACAACUUUAUUGAGAGACUUAACGGACAAAAUCAAAACCUUGGGGUUCCCUCUGGUGGUUGACGCUCAACCUCUUGUGUUCCUUAAAACGAGAAUGAGCUCUGUUCUAGAUCUUCUGCUGAGAAGGGUUACCCGGAGCCGGGAAGACCGGGCAACCCGGGGAACGCACUGUUCCAGGCGUGGCCAGGAAAAGCGAGAGGAGCCGGAUUGAAAAGUGCCUCCCAAUCGAUAAGAGAAUGGCGAAUGAAAAGCACCCUGAGCCUCCAUCUUAUAUCAUCCACACUAGAGAUGGCAAGACAAAAUGGCGAUUGUGGGAGAAACUGAGGGAGGAGGCAUGCCAGUACGUAGUUGGUGGAGCUGUGGUCCGAUGUUCAGAAUCCAGUUACAACCCCCACCCCAUCCCCAGGCCUCAGGGCAUGUGCUUUUUGCGUCAGCCAUUCCAGGGCUACAUAACUAGAGCAAGGAGACCAAAGAACAGAGUUCAGCAAAAGAGAAAAAAGUGCUGGACAUUGUUGUAAGAACUGAGGAGUGUGAAAGGUUCUGAGGAGUUGGAGAAUUCUUGUGCCAGCUUCUACAAUGACAACCCUGAUGUAAGGGGGAGGGGGCUUUGAAAAACCGGCAGAAUUCUGAUCAGCAGCACCCACUAAUUCUGACUUCAGAGGGGUCCAUCACUGACCAGGAAACCUGCCCGAUUCCCUUGGUGUGAUGGACAGGGAUGGGGGGGGGGGGGGGGGACAAGAGAGCUGCCUGGUGGCCAACUGUGGCCAAUCAGUGGUUUUUAUUUCCUUGACCACGUCUUUCUUUUGAUGGCCAAGAGAUACUGACAGAUGUAAAAGGAAAGUGCUUCUAGUAUGGCUGAGGCCGAAGAGGGGACCAGGCAAUUUUGUUACUCUUUUGUUAGAGUUGAUACACCUUGAAAAAACAGAACAAACUACACAUAACUCCAGCCCCUUUCCAUCUCCCAUGCUCUCUGGGGAGCUCCUUUGUAUAGUGGAAUGACUCCACUCCUGAUUUUUUAAAUGACUUUUAUUCAGACAGAGCCUUCCUGUGUUCCAGGCACUGGAACAGACACUGGAAAAACCAGAGGAGACAAAAAGAAAAAAAAAGGGAAUAUAGUACUUGCCCUCAAGGAGCUUCCAUUCUGGGAGGGGAAGGGCGGAACAGCACCAACACCCAAAAUACAACAAAAUAUAUGCAAUGUACAUCCCAAAUAA
Monodelphis domestica (gray short-tailed opossum) is the source of this 2181-nucleotide non-coding RNA. The record is from RefSeq and is a predicted model, not a curated record. NCBI's taxonomy places the organism in Eukaryota, Metazoa, Chordata, Mammalia, Didelphimorphia, Didelphidae.